Molecule: ribosomal RNA, 292 nt
Filed under: uncultured bacterium
Lineage: Bacteria
Description: partial 16S ribosomal RNA
Rfam family: Bacterial small subunit ribosomal RNA
Source: RNAcentral
GUGUCAGCCGCCGCGGUAAUACGAAGGGGGCUAGCGUUGUUCGGAAUCACUGGGCGUAAAGCGCACGUAGGCGGAUCUUUAAGUCAGGGGUGAAAUCCCGAGGCUCAACCUCGGAACUGCCUUUGAUACUGGGGAUCUCGAGUCCGGGAGAGGUGAGUGGAACUGCGAGUGUAGAGGUGAAAUUCGUAGAUAUUCGCAAGAACACCAGUGGCGAAGGCGGCUCACUGGCCCGAUACUGACGCUGAGGCGCGAAAGCGUGGGGAGCAAACAGGAUUAGAUACCCGAGUAGUCC